Molecule: ribosomal RNA, 270 nt
Filed under: uncultured archaeon
Lineage: Archaea
Description: partial 16S ribosomal RNA
Rfam family: Archaeal small subunit ribosomal RNA
Source: RNAcentral
CAGCACCUCAAGUGGUCAGGAUGAUUAUUGGGCCUAAAGCAUCCGUAGCCGGCGCUGUAAGUUUUCGGUUAAAUCUGUACGCUCAACGUACAGGCUGCCGGGAAUACUGCAGCGCUAGGGAGUGGGAGAGGUAGACGGUACUCGGUAGGAAGGGGUAAAAUCCUUUGAUCUAUUGAUGACCACCUGUGGCGAAGGCGGUCUACCAGAACACGUCCGACGGUGAGGGAUGAAAGCUGGGGGAGCAAACCGGAUUAGAUCCCCGAGUAGUCC